This is a long non-coding RNA of Pistacia vera, 428 nucleotides long. RefSeq lists it as uncharacterized. NCBI's taxonomy places the organism in Eukaryota, Viridiplantae, Streptophyta, Magnoliopsida, Sapindales, Anacardiaceae. The record is from RefSeq and is a predicted model, not a curated record. The transcript has 2 exons.
AAAAAGUUCCAAAGCCCAUUAUUAUGAUGGAUUGGUAUUACUUUCAAGUGCUUUAUGUAUGUAGGUCGCAAGGCUAAGUUGUAAAGCAUCUGCAUUUAGCUGCUGCUUAUAAUCCCGAGUAUAAUGAACUAUUGCAAUAAUGUGAAAACGACGACAUGAUUACAAGUGAGCUUAGCAGCAGCAGGAGAGGAGAUUACUAAUUUAUUUGUAAAGUGUACAAGACGAUGUUGUAAACUCAUCUGCUCGGGCCACGUUCCCAACAUAUUCAUAUCCCAUAAGUUUCCGGACUAUCAAGAUUGUAGAUCCUACAAUAUUCCCAGUCUCGAUCGAUCAACUCGUGAUAAGCAUUCUGGGGAAGUUUUGUUGUAAAAAGAAUGGUAAAGUAUUUUAUUCCUUUGUUUAGUGAAUUAUAUUAUACAUUGAAAUAA